GUUACUUAACGUGUAUGGUGGAUGCCUUGACUGAAAUAAGCGAUGAAGGACGCAGCUGGCUGCGAUAAUCUUCGGGGAGCUGUUAAGCAAGCUUUGAUCCGGAGGUUUCCGAAUGGGGCAACCCAACUGUGCGUAGCACAGGAAUUUUGAAUUCUGAAACUUUUUGAAACUUAAAACUAAGAAUCGAAAUUUCUGUGCUGCGUACAGUUAUCUUCGCGUGAAUUCAUAGCGUGAAGAGGCAUACCCUGGGAACUGAAACAUCUUAGU
This 267-nucleotide ribosomal RNA is filed under the name Candidatus Moraniibacteriota bacterium. RNAcentral's name for it is "partial 23S ribosomal RNA". It matches the Rfam family "Bacterial large subunit ribosomal RNA", at positions 1 to 207 of the family's 2925-position model. The record is from RNAcentral. Lineage: Bacteria; Candidatus Moraniibacteriota.